RNAcentral lists this long non-coding RNA (693 nucleotides) under Brassica napus (rape). RNAcentral describes it as "long non-coding RNA (BNAP_LNC014442)". The record is from RNAcentral. Lineage: Eukaryota; Viridiplantae; Streptophyta; Magnoliopsida; Brassicales; Brassicaceae.
UUUGACGGUGGGAGCUCAUAGCCAAAAGAAACACAACUAGCACUCAACUCAACAUCUAAUCCAACAUGAGCACACUCUCUUAUUACACUCUAGCUUCUCUAGGCCUAUCUCAACUCCUUUUGCCCUUAUACUCAUCAUCAAACAUCCACACAUUCAAAUCAACCAACUCUCACAUUCAUUAAGCAUAAAACAUUAAGUGAAUUCUUGCAAAUGGUCAAUUGGUCCAAAUCAUUUGGUUUAGUAAGGGAAGAUUUUUAUUCAAGUGGGUCAAGAGGUUCAAAAUCCAUGAUCUUUUAAAGUGGUUUACUCUCAAAACAAGUAGCCUUGACAUUGCACAAAUAUAUCUAAGAAAUGAACCAACUCAUGCAUACAAUGCUCAAUCUCCAUUGUUUUACCCUUUUCCCAAACAUACAAGUUACACAAUCACUUCCCAAUGUCAAACCCAACUCCCAUCUCUCACCAAAAGAUCCUAAGAACACUUUGCACAUAAAACUCUUUUUCUUUGAAAUCUAUAAAGGAUUUUCUCAACUUCUAAACAAAUCUUAGCUCUAAACAACUUUGCUAGCCUCCCUUUUCUUUCUUUUUCUCUUUUUUUUAUAUAUAUAUUUUUUUUUUCUUUUUCUCUUUUAUAUCCCUUUUUUUUUCGGGGGUCAAGACUUUUCAUAAACUCGAGCUAGACGUUUAUCUAUUAAU